GCAAACUUGGUCAUUUAGAGGAAGUAAAAGUCGUAACAAGGUCUCCGUAGGUGAACCUGCGGAGGGAUCAUUAGCGGGUCCCCGCCUGGAGGCGGACCUCCCACCCCCAUAAUUGCUACGCUAGUUGCCCCGGCGGGUUCCGACCUGCCGGGGGCCCAUACCCUGAUAAUAGAAGACCGUCAGAGAUACUAGAAAAGCACCAAAACUUUCAACAACGGAUCUCUUGGUUCUGGCAUCGAUGAAGAACGCAGC
This 252-nucleotide unclassified non-coding RNA is filed under the name uncultured fungus. RNAcentral's name for it is "partial contains small subunit ribosomal RNA, internal transcribed spacer 1, and 5.8S ribosomal RNA". The stretch from base 1 to 73 matches the Rfam family "Eukaryotic small subunit ribosomal RNA", at positions 1759 to 1831 of the family's 1831-position model. Lineage: Eukaryota; Fungi. The record is from RNAcentral.